RNAcentral lists this ribosomal RNA (295 nucleotides) under uncultured bacterium. Its description in RNAcentral is "partial 16S ribosomal RNA". It matches the Rfam family "Bacterial small subunit ribosomal RNA", at positions 794 to 1094 of the family's 1533-position model. The record is from RNAcentral.
CCCACGCCCUAAACGAUGAACACUAGUCGUCGGGAUGCUAGUCAUCUCGGUGAUGCACUUAACAGAUUAAGUGUUCCGCCUGGGGAGUACGGUCGCAAGGUUAAAACUCAAAGGAAUAGACGGGGACCCGCACAAGUGGUGGAGCAUGUGGUUUAAUUCGAAAAUCGCGAGGAACCUUACCAGGGCUUAAAUGGGAAUUGACAGGGUAGGAAACUACUUUUCUCGGACAAUUUUCAAGGUGCUGCAUGGUUGUCGUCAGCUCGUGCUGUGAAGUGUCGGGUUAAGUCCCAUAACG